Molecule: ribosomal RNA, 253 nt
Filed under: uncultured bacterium
Lineage: Bacteria
Description: partial 16S ribosomal RNA
Rfam family: Bacterial small subunit ribosomal RNA
Source: RNAcentral
UACGUAGGGUGCAAGCGUUGUCCGGAAUUAUUGGGCGUAAAGAGCUCGUAGGCGGUUUGUCGCGUCUGCUGUGAAAACUCGGGGCUUAACUCCGGGCCUGCAGUGGGUACGGGCAGACUAGAGUGCGGUAGGGGAGACUGGAAUUCCUGGUGUAGCGGUGAAAUGCGUAGAUAUCUGGAGGAACACCGGUGGCGAAGGCGGCAUCCUGGACCGAUACUGACGCUGAGGAGCGAAAGCCAGGGGAGCAAACGGG